This 1349-nucleotide ribosomal RNA is filed under the name uncultured bacterium. RNAcentral describes it as "bacterial SSU rRNA". It matches the Rfam family "Bacterial small subunit ribosomal RNA", at positions 43 to 1388 of the family's 1533-position model. The record is from RNAcentral.
CAGGCCUAACACAUGCAAGUCGAGCGGAGAUGAGGUGCUUGCACCUUAUCUUAGCGGCGGACGGGUGAGUAAUGCUUAGGAAUCUGCCUAUUAGUGGGGGACAACAUUUCGAAAGGAAUGCUAAUACCGCAUACGCCCUACGGGGGAAAGCAGGGGAUCUUCGGACCUUGCGCUAAUAGAUGAGCCUAAGUCGGAUUAGCUAGUUGGUGGGGUAAAGGCCUACCAAGGCGACGAUCUGUAGCGGGUCUGAGAGGAUGAUCCGCCACACUGGGACUGAGACACGGCCCAGACUCCUACGGGAGGCAGCAGUGGGGAAUAUUGGACAAUGGGGGGAACCCUGAUCCAGCCAUGCCGCGUGUGUGAAGAAGGCCUUUUGGUUGUAAAGCACUUUAAGCGAGGAGGAGGAGCUCUAGACUAAUACUCUAGAUGCUUGGACGUUACUCGCAGAAUAAGCACCGGCUAACUCUGUGCCAGCAGCCGCGGUAAUACAGAGGGUGCAAGCGUUAAUCGGAUUUACUGGGCGUAAAGCGUGCGUAGGUGGUCUUUUAAGUCGGAUGUGAAAUCCCUGAGCUUAACUUAGGAAUUGCAUUCGAUACUGGGAGACUAGAGUAUGGGAGAGGAUGGUAGAAUUCCAGGUGUAGCGGUGAAAUGCGUAGAGAUCUGGAGGAAUACCGAUGGCGAAGGCAGCCAUCUGGCCUAAUACUGACACUGAGGUACGAAAGCAUGGGGAGCAAACAGGAUUAGAUACCCUGGUAGUCCAUGCCGUAAACGAUGUCUACUAGCCGUUGGGGCCUUUGAGGCUUUAGUGGCGCAGCUAACGCGAUAAGUUGACCGCCUGGGGAGUACGGCCGCAAGGUUAAAACUCAAAUGAAUUGACGGGGGCCCGCACAAGCGGUGGAGUAUGUGGUUUAAUUCGACGCAACGCGAAAAACCUUACCCGGUCUUGACAUCCUGGGAACUCGCUAGAGAUAGCUUGGUGCCGCAAGGAGCCCAGAGACAGGUGCUGCAUGGCUGUCGUCAGCUCGUGUCGUGAGAUGUUGGGUUAAGUCCCGCAACGAGCGCAACCCUUGUCCUUAGUUGCCAGCAUUCAGUUGGGCACUCUAAGGAGACUGCCGGUGACAAACCGGAGGAAGGUGGGGACGACGUCAAAUCAUCAUGGCCCUUACGCCCAGGGCUACACACGUGCUACAAUGGACGGUACAAUGGGUCGCAACACUGCGAAGUGAAGCAAAUCUCAAAAAGCCGUUCUCAGUUCGGAUCGGAGUCUGCAACUCGACUCCGUGAAGCCGGAAUCGCUAGUAAUCGCGCAUCAGCAUGGCGCGGUGAAUACGUUCCCGGGCCUUGUACAC